UCUAUCGUGUGGUGGAAUCUGAUGGAAGUUGGAGGCAAACUCUGCUCAGAAGGACAGAAAUCACAUAUAAUGCAGUUCAUAGUAGAAUAAGGCACACAUAACAAACUGUAGCCCCAAACUACUAAAAUCGGCCUUAAUACGGAGCAGUAGAGUGAUUAGAGCUGAGAUAAAAAAUCAUU
Molecule: non-coding RNA, 179 nt
Organism: Anaerosporobacter mobilis DSM 15930
Lineage: Bacteria; Bacillati; Bacillota; Clostridia; Lachnospirales; Lachnospiraceae
Source: Rfam